GUGGGCAAUCUGCCCUGCACUCUGGGACAAGCCCUGGAAACGGGGUCUAAUACCGGAUAUGACCGUCUGCCGCAUGGUGGAUGGUGUAAAGCUCCGGCGGUGCAGGAUGAGCCCGCGGCCUAUCAGCUUGUUGGUGAGGUAGUGGCUCACCAAGGCGACGACGGGUAGCCGGCCUGAGAGGGCGACCGGCCACACUGGGACUGAGACACGGCCCAGACUCCUACGGGAGGCAGCAGUGGGGAAUAUUGCACAAUGGGCGAAAGCCUGAUGCAGCGACGCCGCGUGAGGGAUGACGGCCUUCGGGUUGUAAACCUCUUUCAGCAGGGAAGAAGCGAAAGUGACGGUACCUGCAGAAGAAGCGCCGGCUAACUACGUGCCAGCAGCCGCGGUAAUACGUAGGGCGCAAGCGUUGUCCGGAAUUAUUGGGCGUAAAGAGCUCGUAGGCGGCUUGUCACGUCGGUUGUGAAAGCCCGGGGCUUAACCCCGGGUCUGCAGUCGAUACGGGCAGGCUAGAGUUCGGUAGGGGAGAUCGGAAUUCCUGGUGUAGCGGUGAAAUGCGCAGAUAUCAGGAGGAACACCGGUGGCGAAGGCGGAUCUCUGGGCCGAUACUGACGCUGAGGAGCGAAAGCGUGGGGAGCGAACAGGAUUAGAUACCCUGGUAGUCCACGCCGUAAACGGUGGGCACUAGGUGUGGGCAACAUUCCACGUUGUCCGUGCCGCAGCUAACGCAUUAAGUGCCCCGCCUGGGGAGUACGGCCGCAAGGCUAAAACUCACAGGAAUUGACGGGGGCCCGCACAAGCGGCGGAGCAUGUGGCUUAAUUCGACGCAACGCGAAGAACCUUACCAAGGCUUGACAUACACCGGAAACGUCUGGAGACAGGCGCCCCCUUGUGGUCGGU
This 900-nucleotide ribosomal RNA is filed under the name Streptomyces sampsonii. RNAcentral describes it as "bacterial SSU rRNA". It matches the Rfam family "Bacterial small subunit ribosomal RNA", at positions 117 to 1031 of the family's 1533-position model. Lineage: Bacteria; Bacillati; Actinomycetota; Actinomycetes; Kitasatosporales; Streptomycetaceae. The record is from RNAcentral.